Molecule: long non-coding RNA, 434 nt
Organism: Xenia sp. Carnegie-2017
Lineage: Eukaryota; Metazoa; Cnidaria; Anthozoa; Malacalcyonacea; Xeniidae
Exons: 3
Source: RefSeq, a predicted model, not a curated record
UAGUACCCUCUAGCCUCCCUAUCUGGGCACUGAUAUACACACCUUUCCUGAUGAUUACAGUAUUAAUAUAACAUUGAAUGUUUAAUGCUCUACAUGCCCUUUGUGGAUGCAGUGCACUCAAGUGUGAAGACCUUAUAAGAUAAGUUCAUGUGGCUUGCUAUUUUCCAUUUUUACAUUUAUGCUAUGAUUUAAUUCCAUAUAAUUUUUCUUUUUUUUCCCAGACUGACAUUGAAGAAAAGAUUUUCUUUACCGUAUAGUGCAUCCAUGUAUCUCCUAUUUGGUUUCCAUCUAGGCAUAUUUCCUGACCAUUCUAAACUCAGCAAAGAAGGCCAACAGUCUCUACAGUGCACAAGUUAAAAGACCUUUCCAUCAUCGCCCCUCUGAUGACCCACAAAACCAUCGCAUCAACCAUCUGUAUGCCACAGCUCUCAAGU